UAAACGACGCAUAUUUUAAUUGACAAGGGGAUCCACGCAUAUUUACCCCCAAAUCGAAGCCCACUAUUCACACUUCACCUUCGAUUAAUCUUCAAAACCCACCUCUGGCGAUUGUGUCUUCUCCUCCGCCCACCUCUCUCGAAGCCCCCCUCUCACUGUCUCUCUCGUUAGGUUCUUCACAGGUACAUCCGCAUCUGUCUCCCUCUCUAUCUAUCUCUCUCUCUCUCUCUCUCUCUCUCUCUCUCUCUCUCUCUCUCUCUCUCUCUCUGUCUCUCGUCGCCAACUGUACCCUGAGAACGUCACCGGUCCCUAAGCCAAAAAUGGAAGAGAACAUCAAAACACCGACCAGGUUUCCCUUUUAACCAAAAUGACAAUUGGUUAGCCACUACCAGUACGAAUUCAUUGUUUGUUGUGGUCUUGUCUUUUGUGUCUUUGAUUCCCCAUCUCUCCAUCGCAAGGUCUUCCUUUGUCGACUUGGUUCAUUACAGUGCCCUAGCCAGGUUUCGUGAUGAUUUUGCUUUUAUCCGUAGAAGACAGAAAUAUCGAAAUAAGAAACUCUGGGGUGUUGUGAAGCCACUGAAAUCCUUGCAGCCUUAUGCCAACCCUAGAAACAACUACGUAGAUCUGUGAUCUGAUCAUCAUAUUCAGGCUUUUAAAUGCUACUUUUGUCAUUCCAGAGAUUCAAGAGACUACACGCUCAAAAGGUGUCAGAAUGAAGUGAGUGAGACUUACACUGGUGAUGGCUCUGUUGAUGCAAAAGGAAAGCCAACAGUGAAGCAAAAUACUGAAUAUUGGAGAGCAUGUUGGUUCAUUAUAGGUAAAGGAAAGGCUAAGGCUGAACAGGAGUGAACCCGAGCUCAGAUGGGAUUGUACAUGUCAAGCAGCGCGACCUGGAGUGUUCAGUCUCGGGACAUCUGGGAUUUGUAUUUUGAAAGUCGUUGUGCGACCAGUAAAUUUGUGUAUUUUGAAAUGUAUAUUUUGGAAAGUAAAUUUUACAAAGUUUGAAAACGGGAUCCCGACACUUGUAAAUAUUUUAUUAUAUUACAAAGUUUAAUAUUUAAUGCAAAAGUUUUAAUUUGACA
Long non-coding RNA from Cannabis sativa, 1082 nucleotides. RefSeq lists it as uncharacterized. Lineage: Eukaryota; Viridiplantae; Streptophyta; Magnoliopsida; Rosales; Cannabaceae. The transcript is spliced from 5 exons. The record is from RefSeq and is a predicted model, not a curated record.